CUAGUAAUCGCAGAUCAGAAUGCUGCGGUGAAUACGUUCCCGGGCCUUGUACACACCGCCCGUCACACCAUGGGAGCCGGUAAUACCCGAAGUCAGUAGUCUAACCGCAAGGGGGACGCUGCCGAAGGUAGGAUUGGCGACUGGGGUGAAGUCGUAACAAGGUACC
Molecule: ribosomal RNA, 166 nt
Filed under: uncultured bacterium
Lineage: Bacteria
Description: partial 16S ribosomal RNA
Rfam family: Bacterial small subunit ribosomal RNA
Source: RNAcentral